ACAAGGUAUUUUCUCACUGAACAGUUUAUUGGGUUGUGCUAUUUUAUUCAUGCAGGUGGCACAAAAACAACAACUGUAUCAACAACAACAACUGGAAACAGCUCAACAUCAGGUACAACAGCAGUCAGUGAUACUUCAACCAAACAAGUUUGGUGGCAAUGGUUCAUCAUUGUGUUUGUGAGUCUUGCAGCACUCUUAAUAAUCAUUGUUGCUGUCAUCAGAUGGAAGAGAACUAAAGGAAAAAAAUCACAGACGGAUAAAAACAAUGUACAGAGCUUAAACCCUGCAGUGAAUCCAGAAACCUGUCAGGACACGGCUGAUCCUGAAGAUGGUGUUUCCUACGCCUCCAUCAGCUUCACCAAGAAGACCAACAGUAAAGGCUGGCCCAGGUCUACAUGGAAGGAUUGUGAAGUCAGUGUCCAACACUUUGGUCCAGAACUAAAUAUCUCAACAACUACGGACCAGAGGUUCGGAGUAAAGGUGAUGAUGAUGAUGAUGAAACAGUGACCUACGUCACUGUGAAAGCUCCCUCUUCUUCUGCUGGAGCCUCUGCUGAUCCCAGCAACCUCUACGCCACUGUAAACAAACCAAACAAAUAAGAGACCACAGUAUAGUUACAGCUCAUAUCAUCACACUUAUUUUACAUUGAUAACUGAUACUGAUAAAUGUUUGACUGUGUUUCUGUAUUAGAUGAUCAUUUUCAGGAUUUAUUGCUGUAAUAAGCCUUUUUGUCCAGAAGGGGGAGUAGUAGGUUAACUAGUAGCACAAUGUGAAAAGCAGAAGUAAUAAACAGUGGAGAAAGAAGUAUUUAUCAGAAUCAGAUCAGAAUCAGAACUUUAUUGAUCCUCUGGGGGGGAAAUUAGUUUUGUUACAGUUAUUCAAGGUGCUCAGACAUUAAAGAAAUAAUAAAAAGAAGAAGAAUGUUAAAAUGGGUAUUAUAUUACAAUAUCUAACAACAAUGUAUAUAGAGAAAAGAAAAAUAGAUACAAUCGGAGUCUGAACUGUACAUUAUAAUACAAUAUAUAAAAUAUACAAAUAUAUGUUUGCUAAUAGAAAUAUAUGUCAGAUCCUUUACUACAGUACUUAAGUAAAGUAAGUAUUAUCAGUCAAAUCUACUUUAAAUACCAAAAGUAAAAGUACUCAUUAUGCAGUAAAAUGGUCUCUGUCAGUGUUUUACUAUUAUAUAAGAUGUGUUUGGAUUAAUAUUACUGCUGCAUUAAUGUGUAUGUUGCAUUUUACUGCUGUACAUGUUUAAGGUUGAGCUCAUUGUAACUACUUUAUCUACUGUAGUGUAGUUUAAUCUAAAGCAAUACAUCAUAUUCUGUGAAAUCAUCAUAUGUCUGUAGUGUUAUUGUCCUUUAGGGACCAACUAUCCACAUUUUGGCUUUGUGACAAUGUAUUUUCCAGCUGAUCCAAGAAGGUUUUUAAAUAGUUUGUUCAGGUUAAGACACAUAAAGACACUUCAUCCUUCAGUUUAUCAGAAACAUUCAACAUCACCAAAUCUGGAGAUACAUGGUAUUCACUGGACAGGAAGGGUAUGAGAAAAUGUAAUCUGAAAGGUAACUAGUAACUAAAGCUGUCAGACAAAUUUAAUGGAGUAAAAGUAUAAAGUGUCAUAAAUGGAAUUUGUACUUAAGUACAGAACUUGAGCAAAUACACUUGGUAACAUUUCACCGCUGGUAAUAACACAUUAUAUGACUGCUUGAAAUGUAAAUAAACAUUAUUCUGCUACAUUUUGCUUCAUGAAUUUGAUGUCAGGGAAUAAGUGUUGUGUAAGAUGUAUUUAUGUAAUAGUCACUUGUCAUUGUUUAAUUGCAAUAAUUUAAACAUCCAUGUUAUUGUCUAACUUCCUUUAAUUGGCUUUUAACAAAAUAAUUUAAUCUCUACUUUAAGAUUAACAGAUCAGUUUCAAAGCAGCAGCUUGAUCUUAGUUGUAUGUCUCUGUUUAAGAAGAACUCAUUUAAAUGAACACACAUUUAUCAUUUUUGUUAACAUGUUUGUUACGAGUCCAAUGUGUGUUUUAUUUGCUUUGAGUCUUAAAGCUAUAAUAUGUAAC
RNAcentral lists this long non-coding RNA (2056 nucleotides) under Dicentrarchus labrax (European seabass). Its description in RNAcentral is "lncRNA (ENSDLAG00005028858.1)". The record is from RNAcentral. Lineage: Eukaryota; Metazoa; Chordata; Actinopteri; Moronidae.